This 253-nucleotide ribosomal RNA is filed under the name uncultured bacterium. RNAcentral's name for it is "partial 16S ribosomal RNA". It matches the Rfam family "Bacterial small subunit ribosomal RNA", at positions 524 to 776 of the family's 1533-position model. The record is from RNAcentral.
GACAGAGGUGCCAAGCGUUAGGCGGAAUCACUGGGCUUAAAGCGUGUGUAGGUGGAUGCCUAAGUGCCUUGUGAAAUCCCACGGCUCAACCGUGGAAUUGCUGGGCAUACUGGGUGUCUUGAGCCAUCCAGGGGUCGCUGGAACAAGUGGUGGAGCGGUGAAAUGCGUAGAUAUCACUUGGAACGCCAAUGGUGAAAACAGGCGACUGGGGAUGUGCUGACACUGAGACACGAAAGCCAGGGGAGCAAACGGG